Molecule: long non-coding RNA, 1943 nt
Organism: Pseudoliparis swirei
Lineage: Eukaryota; Metazoa; Chordata; Actinopteri; Perciformes; Liparidae
Exons: 2
Source: RefSeq, a predicted model, not a curated record
GUUGCAGUCCGUCAAUGGUGAUCGUUAAGCAACUUCAUUAGCUUAGGAGACGCUCAGCUCCCUAAACACCUCAGGCCAUUUUCGGAUCCUGGAUGGUCUUCCCGGGCAAUACUCCAAGUAUCUAGGCAGCUUUGUACGGGAGGGCCUCCUUUCUUCGAUCAACGAAGCAUUAUGUAGGUCAAAGGGGUAGCACAGAGGCUGCUACUUUGGCUAACCCCUAGGCAUCGCAGUUGCACUGAUGCCGGGAAUAGGACAGCUGUAGACCUUUACCCUGACCUCAACCUAAUGCUGGCAAGUCAUAAAUCAUUGAAGUCCGGCACUAUAUGGUAAGUCAUUCAUAUAAAUUGUUUGUGGUGUCUGGUUCAAGUAUUGGUUGGCAGUGACUUGUCAGUCAUCUUAUGUACAGCCGUAUCUCACCAGAGCUAAGGUUCCAGAUCCGCUCGCUAACACGGACUUGUGGAACCAUGCUGGUGCGAGGUGAUCAGUUUUCUUGUGAGUUUUCCUCAAUUUCCUGCUUCUACGUUGCCUCAUCUAAACGGGUGCUUCUAGCAUUCUCUAGUUUCACGUUGCCCUUAACUAACAUGAAGCAUGCUUGAGUACCUCUUGGUUCGGCCUAAGACUGGCUCCUCUGCUCCUCUCUUCCUUCCCCCGGGGAAGGUGGCCAUAUCUCAGACUUGGUUCCGGGGUCAUUGGAAGGUUAUCCUCCCAAAUAGCAACUUAGCCUAGCCAAACUACUCGGGGCAUUCUUUCCGGAUAGGGGCUGCUACUUCGGCGGCCGCCAAGGCAUCUCCGCCUCAACUCUCCAGAGAAUGGGGAGGUGGUCCUCCUCUGCCGUUGGCUCCGACAUCCGGCUGGACCGUGACACCAUAUGGUCAAAUCAAAGGUCCCUGAAACCUUAAAUUGGUCUCCGUUACCUGGCAAAGCGGAUUAUCUUCCAAUUUCCAGCAAAAAAAUCAGGCAAAAGAUGGUAUGGAAACCCGCUCUCGUUUACAGGUCCAGGGAGGGCCGUCACAAAGCUGACAUAAUAUUCCUGUUUCCGGGUAUUUCUUGUUUCUGGGUCUGCGACGAACCCGUCCAACGAGGACACAGUCUUUUUCCCGGACGUACUUCCCCGGAUGCGUGGGAACGCCAGAGUCCGACAGGGGUCUAACGAGAAGCGACCAACCGAUACAAAUCCGACUCGAACUGUCCUGCGGUCUUGAACGUGACCCCUACUAUCCUGUUCUGCGGUCUACACAGGACCCCAACCUGUCCUUGACUGCGGUCUACCCAUGACCCCAAUCUAUUCUUGUCUGCGGUCUAACUUGACCCAACCUAUCCGGUCCUUGGGAGCGACCAAGCACGUCGUGACCCCCCGCUAUCCAUUCGGGGAUCUUAAAAUCCCCUUCUCCUUUGAAGUGGUAGUUCCUAUCCACACUGUCCAGUUCUGCGGUCUACUCUCGACCCCUCCUGUCCUUGUCUGCGGUGCGUCUUCACCCCUAAUCUGCCUUUCUGCGUCAUUUCCGACCCCACUAUCAUUUUCGGGAUCCGGUCGGAUCCUGCUGUCUUAGUGCUGUAUAUCUAGAUCGGCACUAUUAGCUUCUGCGGUCGAUAGACCUCCGUAUCCUUGUCUGCAGUCCUUCGGGGCCUUCCACUCUUGCUUUUUAGCUAGACCUUCUUAACUCUGUGAUGUUUAUUAUUACGGCUAGCCUUAACCCCUUCGAACCAUAACUAGUGGUUUCAUGAAAUGGUUCUAGGGGUGCCUAGGAAACUUCUGCGGCUGUAGGUAAGGUUUAAUUUAUUUUAUACAUAUAAAAUAAUUCUCUUUGGGGGGAUUCUGCCUGCGCAGAUAUCAGCAGCUCUACCCCUGGUUUAUCCUACUUCAGGAUGGAGUCCAAUCGCCAAAAAAGACUUUGCACUAUUGCAAUAUUCUAUUGUAAUAAAUGAUUGUUCAACUCUAAAUA